RNAcentral lists this ribosomal RNA (235 nucleotides) under uncultured bacterium. RNAcentral's name for it is "partial 16S ribosomal RNA". It matches the Rfam family "Bacterial small subunit ribosomal RNA", at positions 28 to 264 of the family's 1533-position model. The record is from RNAcentral.
GAUGAACGCUGGCGGCGUGCCUAACACAUGCAAGUCGAACGGGAGUUGUCUUCGGACAACAAGAGUGGCGCACGGGUGAGUAACACGUAGCUAACCUGCCCCGAAGCUCGGGAUAACGUUCCGAAAGGAAUGCUAAUACCGGAUAAGCUCACGAACUGUAGAGGCUUGUGAGAAAAGGAGAAAUCCACUUUGGGAUGGGGCGUGCGACCCAUCAGCUCGUUGGUGAGGUAACGGC